GAUGAACGCUGGCGGCGUGCCUAAUACAUGCAAGUCGAGCGAACGGACGAGGAGCUUGCUUUUCUGAUGUUAGCGGCGGACGGGUGAGUCACACGUGUAUAACCUACCUAUAAUACUGGGAUAACUUCGGGACACCGGAGCUAAUACCGGAUAAUAUUUUGAACCGCAGUGUUCAAAAGUGAAAGACGGUCUUGCUGUCACUUAUAGAUGGAUCCGCGCUGCAUUAGCUAGUUGGUAAGGUAACGGCUUACCACGGCAACGAUGCAUAGCCGACCUGAGAGGGUGAUAGGCCACACUGGAGCUGAGACACGGUCAAGACUCCUACGGGAGGCAGCAGUAGGGAAUCUUACGCAAUGGGCGAAAGCCUGACGGAGCAACGCCGAGUGAGUGAUGGAGGUCUCCGGAUCGUAAUACUCUGUUACUAGGGAAGAACAUAUGUGUAAGUAACUGUGCACAUAUUGACGGUACCUAAUAAGAAAGCCCCGGCUAACUACGUG
RNAcentral lists this ribosomal RNA (497 nucleotides) under uncultured bacterium. RNAcentral describes it as "partial 16S ribosomal RNA". It matches the Rfam family "Bacterial small subunit ribosomal RNA", at positions 28 to 507 of the family's 1533-position model. The record is from RNAcentral.